Pseudophryne corroboree (corroboree frog) is the source of this 700-nucleotide long non-coding RNA. RefSeq lists it as uncharacterized. NCBI's taxonomy places the organism in Eukaryota, Metazoa, Chordata, Amphibia, Anura, Myobatrachidae. The record is from RefSeq and is a predicted model, not a curated record. The transcript is spliced from 2 exons.
AGCAGCAGCACGUAGGAAGGAGCCCUGGAGGACUCACCGAAGACCGGAGGAGGAGCGGAGACAUGCGCACCAGCUGAAGAGACGCGAGGGAGCGAGCCGCAGGACCAGGAGAGGACCAACGCCAUGGAGGAGCUGCCUGUCACCAGAGCGACCAGAGCCAUCUGCGCUGAGUGGAGAAGACGCUGUAGAAGAGGAGGAGUCCAGCCAGCCGCAGACCGGGGAAGGACAUCCAACCUUCAGUGGACUGGGAUCCUGCAGCAAGGGAGGAGACUGACCAGCAACGGGAGCACCGGCAUCGCGGAGGACACCCACUUACCGGAGCAAGGACCCGCAGAAGACCCUGGCUGGCUUAAAGAAGACGGCGCGGAACAGCGGGGGGGGACAGCGCACAUCAGAAUCCUGCAGCAGGAGAGAAGAUCCCCCUCUGGAGUGCAGCAGACCACAGUGAAAAGGGUGCAUCCCCGAUGCGGUACUCUGCAUCCCGGGUGGCGCCGAAGACGUGGAUUGUCGGAGGUGGCAGAAGCGCCGCAGCUUGGGGAUUUACCAGCAACAUCCUCUUGAUGGCGUGAAGAUCUCUUUUUAGCAAGUGCCUUCCGCCUGACCACUGGUGCUGCAUUUUUUUUUUUAACCCAAUACUUUAAUAUUCAAAUUUAAUGCACAAAAUACAAUGCAUUGGCAUCAAUAAAAACAAUAUACUUCA